GGUUGUAGCUCAGUGGUAAGAGCACUUGCCAGUGGCAGAGUGCUUGCUUAGCAUGUACAAGGUCCUGGGUUCAAUUCCCAGCACCA
Non-coding RNA from Ictidomys tridecemlineatus (thirteen-lined ground squirrel), 86 nucleotides. The record is from Rfam. Lineage: Eukaryota; Metazoa; Chordata; Mammalia; Rodentia; Sciuridae.